GAAGAAAUUACCUUUCCAUGAAAAAGAUUGAAAAAGGAAGAUGGUGAAUGAACUCUGAAAUGCAAGGCUUCACCUCCACAGGCUUGAGCUCAUUAACAGACAUCCUAAUGCCUGCAGUUGGCCUCUGAUUUCCUUAGAGCGGAGCACAGGUGGAUACUGGGGCCAAAUGAUCUGCCUCAAGGAAGUCUCUGUCAGAAAGCCAAACCUCUGCUGUUCCAGAAUAGUUCACCCUAGCUCCAGUGAUCUUCAUGCUCCAGAAGAUGAUUUCUGAAACCAGGGCCUAGUCUACUCUUGUUUGAGAUUAAGCUUAAUAUGGGAUAUUCUUUAUCUACUUGACUGGAUUAUACUUCUGAGAAAGCAGUGGGGUGGCAACUCUGCAAACUGGAAGAGGAAUGACUCUGCAAGAGGGAAGGAAGAAUUAGCAAUGAGAGGAGAACACAGUAAAAAACAUAGUUGGGUAAAA
This is a long non-coding RNA of Vidua chalybeata, 463 nucleotides long. RefSeq lists it as uncharacterized. NCBI's taxonomy places the organism in Eukaryota, Metazoa, Chordata, Aves, Passeriformes, Viduidae. The transcript is spliced from 3 exons. The record is from RefSeq and is a predicted model, not a curated record.